CUUCAGACAAUAAUUUCAAGCUAGCUAGAGAUUUUGACAUUUGGAGCCCUAGAAAAUGGUGAUGAGGAGACCUAACUUGGGGAUAGAGAUGGAAGGAUUCUUGAGGAUGGAAAGCUUGAGGUUUUAUUGGUUGAUGCUAAGCGCGUAUAGAGGAAGUUAGGAACCGUUAGUAUUUUGCACCUAGCUCCUUGCGUUUAGUUUUCCUUGUUAUGUCUAGCUUGAUGUUUAGAUCAUGGACUUACUAUAGUAUGCUAUGUUUUGGUUAGUACUUAGACACUUGGGCCUGUGUGCCUCGCUUUGCUUAUUGAUGAGCUGUGACUCUAGUUUGCGGGUCUGUGAACCCUUAUGUUUAUUUUGAGGAUUUGACUUAGCAGUUUAGUCUGGUACCAUCCCGGUAUAGGUGGUUACGACGGUAGCAUCCCCAAACUAUUAGUAAUGAAUGAUCUAUUUAACUA
This is a long non-coding RNA of Ipomoea nil (Japanese morning glory), 455 nucleotides long. RefSeq lists it as uncharacterized. NCBI's taxonomy places the organism in Eukaryota, Viridiplantae, Streptophyta, Magnoliopsida, Solanales, Convolvulaceae. The record is from RefSeq and is a predicted model, not a curated record. The transcript is spliced from 3 exons.